GAACGGGUGAGUAACGCGUGAGGAACCUGCCUCAAAAGAGGGGGGACAACAGUUGGAAACGACUGCUAAUACCGCAUAAGCCCACGGCUCGGCAUCGAGCAGAGGGAAAAGGAGCAAUCCGCUUUGAGAUGGCCUCGCGUCCGAUUAGCUAGUUGGUGAGGUAAUGGCCCACCAAGGCAACGAUCGGUAGCCGGACUGAGAGGUUGAACGGCCACAUUGGGACUGAGACACGGCCCAGACUCCUACGGGAGGCAGCAGUGGGGAAUAUUGCACAAUGGGGGAAACCCUGAUGCAGCGACGCCGCGUGGAGGAAGAAGGUCUUCGGAUUGUAAACUCCUGUUGUUGGGGAAGAUAAUGACGGUACCCAACAAGGAAGUGACGGCUAACUACGUGCCAGCAGCCGCGGUAAAACGUAGGUCACAAGCGUUGUCCGGAAUUACUGGGUGUAAAGGGAGCGCAGGCGGGAAGACAAGUUGGAAGUGAAAUCUAUGGGCUCAACCCAUAAACUGCUUUCAAAACUGUUUUUCUUGAGUAGUGCAGAGGUAGGCGGAAUUCCCGGUGUAGCGGUGGAAUGCGUAGAUAUCGGGAGGAACACCAGUGGCGAAGGCGGCCUACUGGGCACCAACUGACGCUGAGGCUCGAAAGUGUGGGUAGCAAACAGGAUUAGAUACCCUGGUAGUCCACACCGUAAAC
Molecule: ribosomal RNA, 693 nt
Filed under: uncultured bacterium
Lineage: Bacteria
Description: bacterial SSU rRNA
Rfam family: Bacterial small subunit ribosomal RNA
Source: RNAcentral